Molecule: transfer RNA, 74 nt
Filed under: Podarcis lilfordi (Lilford's wall lizard)
Lineage: Eukaryota; Metazoa; Chordata; Lepidosauria; Squamata; Lacertidae
Description: tRNA.Ile
Source: RNAcentral
GUUAUUGUAGCUCAGUUGGUUAGAGCAUCGUGCUGAUAAUGCCAAGGUUGGAAGUUCAAUCCCCGUAUGGGACA